UGGGGAAUAUUGCGCAAUGGGCGAAAGCCUGACGCAGCAACGCCGCGUGAGUGAUGAAGGUCUUCGGAUUGUAAACUCCUGUCAGAUGGGAAGAACGACUGUCGGCAAAUAGUCGAUAGUCUUGACUGUACCAUCGGAGGAAGCCCCGGCUAACUCUGUGCCAGCAGCCGCGGUAAUACAGAGGGGGCAAGCGUUAUUCGGAAUUAUUGGGCGUAAAGGGCGCGUAGGUGGCCUGGUAAGUCAACGGUGAAAUCCCUCAGCUCAACCGAGGAACUGCCUUUGAUACUGCCAGGCUUGAGGCCGGGAGAGGGUAGCGGAAUUCCCAGUGUAGCGGUGAAAUGCGUAGAUAUUGGGAGGAACACCGGUGGCGAAGGCGGCUACCUGGACCGGUUCUGACACUGAGGCGCGAAAGCGUGGGGAUCAAACAGGAUUAGAUACCCCAGUAGUCCCUGAGCGGGCUGGCAAGGCGCAU
Molecule: ribosomal RNA, 472 nt
Filed under: uncultured bacterium
Lineage: Bacteria
Description: bacterial SSU rRNA
Rfam family: Bacterial small subunit ribosomal RNA
Source: RNAcentral